AACGAACGCUGGCGGCAUGCCUAACACAUGCAAGUCGAACGAAGGCUUCGGUCUUAGUGGCGCACGGGUGCGUAACGCGUGGGAAUCUGCCCUUGGGUUCGGAAUAACUCAGAGAAAUUUGAGCUAAUACCGAAUGAUGUCGAAAGACCAAAGAUUUAUCGCCCAAGGAUGAGCCCGCGUAGGAUUAGCUUGUUGGUGAGGUAAAGGCUCACCAAGGCGACGAUCCUUAGCUGGUCUGAGAGGAUGAUCAGCCACACUGGGACUGAGACACGGCCCAGACUCCUACGGGAGGCAGCAGUGGGGAAUAUUGGACAAUGGGCGAAAGCCUGAUCCAGCAAUGCCGCGUGAGUGAUGAAGGCCUUAGGGUUGUAAAGCUCUUUUACCAGGGAUGAUAAUGACAGUACCUGGAGAAUAAGCUCCGGCUAACUCCGUG
Molecule: ribosomal RNA, 433 nt
Filed under: uncultured bacterium
Lineage: Bacteria
Description: bacterial SSU rRNA
Rfam family: Bacterial small subunit ribosomal RNA
Source: RNAcentral